This is a long non-coding RNA of Poeciliopsis prolifica (blackstripe livebearer), 939 nucleotides long. RefSeq lists it as uncharacterized. The transcript has 3 exons. NCBI's taxonomy places the organism in Eukaryota, Metazoa, Chordata, Actinopteri, Cyprinodontiformes, Poeciliidae. The record is from RefSeq and is a predicted model, not a curated record.
UUCAAGAAGAGGAUGGACCUGGAACUCAGGACUUUAGUAAAUAUUUCUAAGAUUUAGACUUUUUUUUCCUACCACUUAGAUAUCUCACAUCUUUGCAUGUCUGUAUUUGUGUUAGCCUUUAUGUUGCACUGUUAAAUGUGAAAAACUGUUAGAAACAUUAGCAUUUUUACUGUAACGAAGGUCUCCAUUUAGCAUAAGGUUGAAACUUUUUUUUUUUAUACCGUCCUAACUUUCCAUGGGAUGCCGGGAUAUUUCGAGGGUAAGUCUGGAAUUCCGCUAGUUCUGAACUAUUCUUGUUUGGCAAAAGUUCACUACUAGCAGAACUCGGAUUUGCUCCCGACAACCGACGGUAAUGCCUGGCGGCAAAGGUCUUAAGCUGCUGUGUUGAGCAACAGGUGGUUUGUGUGUGUGGUGUGGUGAUUGUUAAGGUGGACAGAAAAUUACUCUGGUGCCAAGUGAGCCAAAUCGGCCACUGCUGAUCUCAUGGCUCUGAGUUCACUUAACAUCAGUAAGAAGUUCUAGGGUCAAGUCCAGUUGGACCGAUUAACUCCCAUCUCUCCAGAGUGAAAAUAUAACUUUGUAUUUGACUUUGGUGAUGAAGUAUAUUACAUUUUUGAAAUGCCAUUUAAGCAAACAUGCUACAAUGUGAAUAUCCGUUGUUUUCUUUUCUCUCUAGGUAACCAAUGCCUUCAUUUAUUCCAAAAGAUAAUCCUAUCCAGCAAACUGCCUUAACUCUAUUGCAUUAAAGAGUUAGAAAGGCUUACGAGUGAAAACACCAACUAGCCAUUACAUUAUGACCAGUGACAAGUAAGGUUUUUCACCAAACUACAAGAGACCAUGAUGGCCAAAACAACAAACAUUUGUCAAAUAAAUAUGUAAUUGAUUAAAGAAACGAUUGUACGUUUUAUUCAAUGUGUAAUAUAGUUAUUUUAUUUGGGA